This 76-nucleotide transfer RNA is filed under the name Candidatus Zambryskibacteria bacterium RIFCSPHIGHO2_02_FULL_38_22. RNAcentral's name for it is "tRNA-Thr". It matches the Rfam family "tRNA". From Rfam's summary of the family: Transfer RNA (tRNA) molecules are approximately 80 nucleotides in length. Their secondary structure includes four short double-helical elements and three loops (D, anti-codon, and T loops). Further hydrogen bonds mediate the characteristic L-shaped molecular structure. tRNAs have two regions of fundamental functional importance: the anti-codon, which is responsible for specific mRNA codon recognition, and the 3' end, to which the tRNAs corresponding amino acid is attached (by aminoacyl-tRNA synthetases). tRNAs cope with the degeneracy of the genetic code in two manners: having more than one tRNA (with a specific anti-codon) for a particular amino acid; and 'wobble' base-pairing, i.e. permitting non-standard base-pairing at the 3rd anti-codon position. Lineage: Bacteria; Candidatus Zambryskiibacteriota. RNAcentral also lists the same sequence under 4 other names. The record is from RNAcentral.
GCCACCUUAGCUCAGUUGGUAGAGCUCCCGUUUUGUAAACGGGUGGUCGUCAGUUCGAGUCUGACAGGUGGCUCCA